UCUGGUUUAUUCAUUCUCUGUGGCUUCUUUAAACCUUGCCUCCACCUAUAUUUGUCAUAAUUAGUGAGAUUCCUAAGUUCCAAGGCUAACAGAAUAGCAUAGCUGUAAACAUAGCGUAUCAUCAUUUGACUAAGCAGAAUCUAAGAAGAAAACAACUUCAUUUCUGGGUAGUAAUAUUGCAUUAUGGACAAGAAUAUCUUCUAUGUAUGAGGAAUCUGAGGCUGAGAGAGAAUAACCACUUGUCCAGGGUCAUAGAACUGAAAUAGGUUACGCCAUGUUGC
RNAcentral lists this long non-coding RNA (281 nucleotides) under Homo sapiens (human). RNAcentral describes it as "HSALNT0374598". Lineage: Eukaryota; Metazoa; Chordata; Mammalia; Primates; Hominidae. The record is from RNAcentral.